RNAcentral lists this long non-coding RNA (234 nucleotides) under Lathyrus oleraceus (garden pea). RNAcentral describes it as "Pisum sativum (pea) long non-coding RNA (PSAT_LNC037328)". The record is from RNAcentral. Lineage: Eukaryota; Viridiplantae; Streptophyta; Magnoliopsida; Fabales; Fabaceae.
UGAAUCUAAGGCCGAUCCUACUACACAUCUAAAGAUCUAAUACAAUUUAAAAUCAUGUCUUCAUAACAUAAUAGUAAUAUUUUAGUAAAAUUAAUUAACUUAAAUUUAAAUUUUGUUUUUAAAGAUUAUUUAGGAUGUACAAUAAUUUAUUAAAUUAUUUUAAUCAAAAAUAUUCAAUAACUUCAUAACAUAUUUAUUCCAAUAAAAAUAUACUCCUUUUAUAUAAGAGAGUAC